UGUUGAUAGAACAAUGUAGAUAAGGGAAGUCGGCAAAAUGGAUCCGUAACUUCGGGAUAAGGAUUGGCUCUAAGGGUCGGGCUCGCUGGGCCUUGGGGGAAACCCCUCGGAGCAGGGGGGCACUAGCCGGGCAACCGGCCGGCGCCCCCCAGCACCGGGUGGGGGACGCCCUUGGCAGGCUUCGGCCGUCCGGCGGGCGCUUAACGACCAACUUAGAACUGGUACGGACAAGGGGAAUCUGACUGUCA
RNAcentral lists this ribosomal RNA (248 nucleotides) under Aspergillus niger. RNAcentral's name for it is "partial 28S ribosomal RNA". It matches the Rfam family "Eukaryotic large subunit ribosomal RNA", at positions 1885 to 2143 of the family's 3401-position model. Lineage: Eukaryota; Fungi; Ascomycota; Eurotiomycetes; Eurotiales; Aspergillaceae. The record is from RNAcentral.